CUUGACAUACUAUGCAAAUCUAAGAGAUUAGACGUUCCCUUCGGGGACAUGGAUACAGGUGGUGCAUGGUUGUCGUCAGCUCGUGUCGUGAGAUGUUGGGUUAAGUCCCGCAACGAGCGCAACCCUUAUUAUCAGUUGCCAGCAUUAAGUUGGGCACUCUGGUGAGACUGCCGGUGACAAACCGGAGGAAGGUGGGGAUGACGUCAAAUCAUCAUGCCCCUUAUGACCUGGGCUACACACGUGCUACAAUGGAUGGUACAACGAGUUGCGAACUCGCGAGAGUAAGCUAAUCUCUUAAAGCCAUUCUCAGUUCGGAUUGUAGGCUGCAACUCGCCUACAUGAAGUCGGAAUCGCUAGUAAUCGCGGAUCAGCAUGCCGCGGUGAAUACGUUCCCGGGCCUUGUACACACCGCCCGUCACACCAUGAGAGUUUGUAACACCCAAAGUCGGUGGGGUAACCUUUUAGGAACCAGCCGCCUAAGGUGGGACAGAUGAUUAGGGUGAAGUCGUAACAAGGUAAGCGUACGUGU
RNAcentral lists this ribosomal RNA (529 nucleotides) under uncultured bacterium. RNAcentral's name for it is "bacterial SSU rRNA". It matches the Rfam family "Bacterial small subunit ribosomal RNA", at positions 980 to 1509 of the family's 1533-position model. The record is from RNAcentral.